GACGAACGCUGGCGGCGUGCUUAACACAUGCAAGUCGAACGGAAAGGCCCUGCUUUUGUGGGGUGCUCGAGUGGCGAACGGGUGAGUAACACGUGAGUAACCUGCCCUUGACUUUGGGAUAACUUCAGGAAACUGGGGCUAAUAACGGAUAGGAGCUCCUGCUGCUUGGUGGGGGUUGGAAAGUUUCGGCGGUUGGGGAUGGACUCGCGGCUUAUCAGCUUGUUGGUGGGGUAGUGGCUUACCAAGGCUUUGACGGGUAGCCGGCCUGAGAGGGUGACCGGCCACAUGGGGACUGAGAUACGGCCCAGACGCCUACGGGGGGCAGCAGGGGGGAAUAUUGCACAAUGGGGGGAAGCCUGAUGCAGCAACGCCGGGUGCGGGAUGACGGCCUUCGGGUUGUAAACCGCUUUCUGCUGUGACGAAGCGUGAGUGACGGUAAUGGGUAAAGAAGCACCGGCUAACUACGUG
This 468-nucleotide ribosomal RNA is filed under the name uncultured bacterium. Its description in RNAcentral is "partial 16S ribosomal RNA". It matches the Rfam family "Bacterial small subunit ribosomal RNA", at positions 28 to 507 of the family's 1533-position model. The record is from RNAcentral.